GAGAGGGAGAGAGAGAGAGAAAUGGCACAAGAAAGCAAAGAAAUGAAACGAGCAGUGAGAGAAAUAGAAGAAAAUGAGGAGGCGGCGGUGGCAGCGACCGGGACCGAAGCAAUUGAGUCGAGUGGAGGUGGUGGUGGUGGUGGUGGGCUCAUCAAUCAGAUAAUGUCUCACUUGCCCGUCUCUCUUUCCACGAUUAUGCAAAUCUAAGGUGUCGUGCUCUCGAUGGAUUUCCAGUGGAUAACCAUUCAUAUAUAUCAGCUCUCGCAUUUACCAGACAUUUAUAGGUACUAAUAUUAAGCAAUAAGAAGAUUGAGGGUUUGUAUUUAUUUAUUUAUUUUGUUUGUUUGGGGUAAAUCAGAGGGGGGAGUAGCCCCCCCUACCCGUUUUUCACGAUCUAUAUAUUUGGAAGUGAGUUCAUGUCGGUUUGUUUGUGCCUGAGAUAUCGUAAAAAAUGAUACCUUCCAAUAACGAAUUCACACCGUGUUUGGUGAAAUUUGAUAUGUAAACAUUUAUAAACUCAUAAUCAACUUUUUUUAGGUA
Long non-coding RNA from Amborella trichopoda, 540 nucleotides. RefSeq lists it as uncharacterized. The record is from RefSeq and is a predicted model, not a curated record. Lineage: Eukaryota; Viridiplantae; Streptophyta; Magnoliopsida; Amborellales; Amborellaceae.